Molecule: ribosomal RNA, 454 nt
Filed under: uncultured bacterium
Lineage: Bacteria
Description: partial 16S ribosomal RNA
Rfam family: Bacterial small subunit ribosomal RNA
Source: RNAcentral
GAUGAACGCUGACAGAAUGCUUAACACAUGCAAGUCCACUUGAACUUCGGUUUGGGUGGCGGACGGGUGAGUAACACGUAAAGAACUUGCCUCACAGCUAGGGACAACAUUUGGAAACGAAUGCUAAUACCUGAUAUUAUGAUUAUAUGGCAUCGUAUAAUUAUGAAAGCUAUAUGCGCUGUGAGAGAGCUUUGCGUCCCAUUAGCUAGUUGGAGAGGUAACAGCUCACCAAGGCGAUGAUGGGUAGCCGGCCUGAGAGGGUGAUCGGCCACAAGGGGACGGAGACACGGCCCUUACUCCUACGGGAGGCAGCAGUGGGGAAUAUUGGACAAUGGACCGAGAGUCUGAUCCAGCAAUUCUGUGUGCACGAUGAAGUUUUUCGGAAUGUAAAGUGCUUUCAGUUGGGAAGAAAAAAAUGACGGUACCAACAGAAGAAGUGACGGCUAAAUACGUG